Molecule: microRNA precursor, 104 nt
Filed under: Canis lupus familiaris (dog)
Lineage: Eukaryota; Metazoa; Chordata; Mammalia; Carnivora; Canidae
Also listed under: 1 other name
Description: mir-8834 microRNA precursor family
Rfam family: mir-8834 microRNA precursor family
Source: Rfam by way of RNAcentral
AGGAGGAAAAGCCCCAGUGGCGGGGCAGCUCUGCAGCCCUGGAUUCAGCCCCCGCAGGAACUCCAGAGCUCUCCGUCUGCAGGGCCUGGAGGCUCCGGGGCGGG